RNAcentral lists this ribosomal RNA (388 nucleotides) under uncultured bacterium. RNAcentral's name for it is "bacterial SSU rRNA". It matches the Rfam family "Bacterial small subunit ribosomal RNA", at positions 28 to 417 of the family's 1533-position model. The record is from RNAcentral.
GACGAACGCUGGCGGCGUGCUUAACACAUGCAAGUCGAGCGGUAAGGCCCUUUCGGGGGUACACGAGCGGCGAACGGGAGAGUAACACGUGGGUGACCUGCCCUCAGCUCUGGGAUAAGCCUGGGAAACCGGGUCUAAUACUGGAUAUGACUCCAUGACGCAUGUUGUGGGGUGGAAAGCCUUGUGCGGCUGAGGAUGGGCCCGCGGCCUAUCAGCUUGUUGGUGGGGUGANGGCCUACCAAGGCGACGACGGGUAGCCGGCCUGAGAGGGCGACCGGCCACACUGGGACUGAGACACGGCCCAGACUCCUACGGGAGGCAGCAGUGGGGAAUCUUGCGCAAUGGGCGAAAGCCUGACGCAGCGACGCCGCGUGAGGGAUGACGGCCU